CGAACGCUGGCGGCGUGCCUAAUACAUGCAAGUCGAGCGAGUCUUCGGACUAGCGGCGGACGGGUGAGUAACACGUAGGCAACCUGCCUCUCAGACUGGGAUAACAUAGGGAAACUUAUGCUAAUACCGGAUAGGUUUUUGGAUCGCAUGAUCCGAAAAGAAAAGCGGCUUCGGCUGUCACUGGGAGAUGGGCCUGCGGCGCAUUAGCUAGUUGGUGGGGUAACGGCCUACCAAGGCGACGAUGCGUAGCCGACCUGAGAGGGUGACCGGCCACACUGGGACUGAGACACGGCCCAGACUCCUACGGGAGGCAGCAGUAGGGAAUUUUCCACAAUGGACGAAAGUCUGAUGGAGCAACGCCGCGUGAACGAUGAAGGUCUU
Molecule: ribosomal RNA, 381 nt
Filed under: uncultured Brevibacillus sp.
Lineage: Bacteria; Bacillati; Bacillota; Bacilli; Caryophanales; Paenibacillaceae
Description: bacterial SSU rRNA
Rfam family: Bacterial small subunit ribosomal RNA
Source: RNAcentral